Molecule: ribosomal RNA, 260 nt
Filed under: uncultured bacterium
Lineage: Bacteria
Description: partial 16S ribosomal RNA
Rfam family: Bacterial small subunit ribosomal RNA
Source: RNAcentral
UACGAAGGGGGCUAGCGUUGCUCGGAAUCACUGGGCGUAAAGCGCACGUAGGCGGACUCUUAAGUCGGGUGUGAAAUCUCCACGCUCAACGUCGGAGGGCCACUCGAUACUGCCAUGACUCGAGUCCGGUAGAGGAGUGUGGGAAUUCCCGGUGUAGCGGUGAAAUGCGGCAGAUAUCGGGAGGAACGCCCGUAGCGGAAGGCGGACACUCGUGGGCCGGAACUGGACGCUGAGGAGCGAAAGCGUGGGGAGCAAACAGG